GUGUUUGCUUCAGCAACACAUAUCCUAAAAUUGGAAGAUUACAGAGAAGAUUAGCAUUGUCCCUGUGCAAGGAUGACAUGCAAAUUCAUGAAACAUUCCAUAAUUUU
This is a small nuclear RNA of Grammomys surdaster, 107 nucleotides long. The record is from RefSeq and is a predicted model, not a curated record. NCBI's taxonomy places the organism in Eukaryota, Metazoa, Chordata, Mammalia, Rodentia, Muridae.